RNAcentral lists this transfer RNA (72 nucleotides) under Capra hircus (goat). It matches the Rfam family "tRNA". From Rfam's summary of the family: Transfer RNA (tRNA) molecules are approximately 80 nucleotides in length. Their secondary structure includes four short double-helical elements and three loops (D, anti-codon, and T loops). Lineage: Eukaryota; Metazoa; Chordata; Mammalia; Artiodactyla; Bovidae. The record is from Rfam by way of RNAcentral. RNAcentral also lists the same sequence under 1 other name.
CCCCUGCUGGCUCAGAGGGUAAAGCGUCUGUCUGCAAUGUGGGAGACCCGGGUUCAAUCCCUGGGUUGGGAA